Molecule: ribosomal RNA, 521 nt
Filed under: uncultured bacterium
Lineage: Bacteria
Description: partial 16S ribosomal RNA
Rfam family: Bacterial small subunit ribosomal RNA
Source: RNAcentral
ACUCAAAUGAAUUGACGGGGGCUCACACAAGCGGUGGAGCAUGUGGCUUAAUUCGAGGCUACGCGAAGAACCUUAUCCUGGACUUGACAUGUGCGAAAGCGGUAGGAAGUAGCGGCCGGAAACGGCCCGCCAACGGUAUCCAAUCCGGAACCUACUACAGGUGCUGCAUGGCUGUCGUCAGCUCGUGUCGUGAGAUGUUGGGUUAAGUCCCGUAACGAGCGAAACCCUUGUUUCCAGUUGCCAGCGAGUAAUGUCGGGGACUCUGGAAAGACUGCCGGUGUCAAACCGGAGGAAGGCGGGGAUGACGUCAAGUCCUCAUGGCCUUUAUGUCCAGGGCUGCACACGUGCUACAAUGGCGUUUACAGAGGGACGCAAACUCGCGAGAGGGAGCUAAUCCCAAAAAACACGCCUCAGUUCAGAUCGAAGGCUGCAACUCGCCUUCGUGAAGCUGGAAUCGCUAGUAAUCGCGGGUCAGCAACACCGCGGUGAAUGUGUUCCUGGGCCUUGUACACACCGCCCGU